This 176-nucleotide microRNA precursor is filed under the name Picea abies (Norway spruce). The record is from RNAcentral. Lineage: Eukaryota; Viridiplantae; Streptophyta; Pinopsida; Pinales; Pinaceae.
UCAUCUGGGACCUUGCAUGUAGGGCCAGAAUGUCUUAUGCAGCCAAGGAUGACUUGCCGGCAGCAUGUUCUGUGUGAGUGAAAAUGCCUUUUUUGGUUCAAUGCACAUAUGUGGGUGUUGGCCAGUUGUCCUUGGCUACAUUUAAUAUUCCGGUUCUCAUGCUAGACCUCCGAUGA